RNAcentral lists this ribosomal RNA (397 nucleotides) under uncultured bacterium. RNAcentral's name for it is "partial 16S ribosomal RNA". The stretch from base 1 to 235 matches the Rfam family "Bacterial small subunit ribosomal RNA", at positions 1302 to 1533 of the family's 1533-position model. The record is from RNAcentral.
GGUCUGCAACUCGACCUCAUGAAGUCGGAAUCGCUAGUAAUCGCAUAUCAGAACGAUGCGGUGAAUACGUUCCCGGGCCUUGUACACACCGCCCGUCACACCACGAAAGUUUGUUGUACCCGAAGUCGGUGCCUUAACCUCGCAAGAGGAGAGAGCCGCCCAAGGUAUGGCCGAUGAUUGGGGUGAAGUCGUAACAAGGUAGCCGUAGGGAACCUGCGGCUGGAUCACCUCCUUUCUAGGAGAGAAGGGUCCUGGAUGAAGCGCUCCUAUUUAGUCUUGUGAAGGAUCCGAGUGGAAGCCGGGACCGGAGAGAUACCGGGCCUGUAGCUCAGAUGGUGAGAGCGCACGCCUGAUAAGCGUGAGGUCGAUAGUUCGAAUCUAUCCAGGCCCACCAUCU